This 735-nucleotide small RNA is filed under the name Arabidopsis thaliana (thale cress). RNAcentral describes it as "ATSL260240". The record is from RNAcentral. Lineage: Eukaryota; Viridiplantae; Streptophyta; Magnoliopsida; Brassicales; Brassicaceae.
AAUUAGUUAUAUAAAAUGUAUAUAUAGAUAUUUGUUUUAUUAAUAUUGUUUGCUUUGUUUAGUGUUUAGGAUAAUGUAUAUAUAGAUUUUAAUUGUUAUAUCUAUGAUUUCAUCCGUACUAUAUCGGUUCGUAUUACUAUCGAUCCAAAUCCAUCAUACUAUCUAAUCCUGCACAGUAAAAUUAAACAUAUCUAAUGGAUUUCACUUGUGGUAUACCGUCUCGUAAUACUAUCGACCAAACCCGUCCUACCACUAACUCCGUUCAGUAAAAUUAGAUAUUAUUUUGUUAUUUUUGUUUUAAUAAUACUUUAAUUUAAAAAAUAUUUAAUUCAAAUCAAUUUAAAAGUUUUCUUUCAAAUGGUUAUUUAAUUGUUGUAAAGUUUAUAUAUUAUAAUAUUAUAAACACGUCCUACCAUCUAGUCCUACUAUCUAAUCAUGUUCGAUGAAAUUAAUUUUUUAUUUUUUUAAUAAUAUUUUUAUUAAAAGAUUUAUAAUUUAAAUCAAUUUAAAGUUUUCUUUCAAAAUGAUUAUUUAAUUUUUAAAUAUUUUUAACUAUUUUGGCAAAAAUAAUUAGGACAUAGAAUAAGAGCAUAUUCCUUUGAAUAAGAUUUGCUUUGAUUUUGUAGUUAAUUUUUGCAUUGAAUAAACCAGUGGCAGCCAUUGUAAAUAAGUUCUAACUCCAAGAUUUAUUUCACAAAAUGGCUGCAAAAAUGUAUAUGUAGAUAUAUAUAUAUA